GAUGAACGCUGGCGGCGUGCCUAAUACAUGCAAGUCGAGCGAACAGACGAUGAUCUUGCUCCUCUGACGUUAGCGGCGGACGGGUGAGUAACACGUGGAUCACCUACCUAUCAGACUGGGAUCACUUCGGGACACCGGAGCUAAUACCGUAUAAUAUCUUGCACCGCAUGGUUCAAUAGUGAAAGACGGUUUUGCUGUCACUUCUCGAUGGAUCCGCGCCGUAUUAGCUAGUUGGUAAGGUAACGGCUUACCAAGGCAACCAUGCGUAGACGACCUGCGAGGGGGAUAGGCCACAUGGGAAGUGGGACAGGGACAAGAGGACUAAGGGAGGGAGCAGUAGGGAAUGGGCCGCAAUGGGCGAAAGUCUGACGGAGUAAGGGCGAGCGAGUGAUGAAGGUCCUCGGAGCGGAAAAAUCUGUUAUUAGGGAAGAACAGAUGUGGAAGGAAACGUGCAGGGAGUGACGGUAACGAAUCAGAAAGCCACGGCUAACUACGUG
This 497-nucleotide ribosomal RNA is filed under the name uncultured bacterium. RNAcentral describes it as "partial 16S ribosomal RNA". It matches the Rfam family "Bacterial small subunit ribosomal RNA", at positions 28 to 507 of the family's 1533-position model. The record is from RNAcentral.